Molecule: microRNA precursor, 134 nt
Filed under: Gossypium arboreum
Lineage: Eukaryota; Viridiplantae; Streptophyta; Magnoliopsida; Malvales; Malvaceae
Description: MIR7502 microRNA precursor family
Rfam family: MIR7502 microRNA precursor family
Source: Rfam by way of RNAcentral
UGUUAAAAUUUUAUUCAUUUGUACUAUUAAAAAUUGGCGUGACUGAUAAAAUAAUCAAACAGUGCCACGUGUACCAUAUGUUGACGUAUAAGGACUAGUUUUUAACUGUAGAAAUCGAUAAAUUUCUUUUUACA